AUACGGAAGAUGCGAGCGUUAUCCGGAUUUAUUGGGUUUAAAGGGAGCGUAGGCGGAUUGUUAAGUCAGCGGUCGAAUGUCGGUGCCCAACAUCGUCCUUCCGUUGAAACUGGCAGUCUUGAACGCACACAGGGAAGGUGGAAUUCGUCGUGUAGCGGUGAAAUGCUUAGAUAUGACGAGGAACUCCGAUCGCGAAGGCAUCCUUCUGGAGUGCGAUUGACGCUGAGGCUCGAAAGCGCGGGUAUCAAACAGGAUUAGAUACCCUGGUAGUCCGCGCCGUAAACGAUGGAUGCUCGUCAUUGGGGCAUUAGUUUCAGUGACCAAGCGAAAGCAUUAAGCAUCCCACCUGGGGAGUACGCCGGCAACGGUGAAACUCAAAGGAAUUGACGGGG
Molecule: ribosomal RNA, 392 nt
Filed under: uncultured bacterium
Lineage: Bacteria
Description: partial 16S ribosomal RNA
Rfam family: Bacterial small subunit ribosomal RNA
Source: RNAcentral